RNAcentral lists this transfer RNA (86 nucleotides) under Brachyspira sp. G79. RNAcentral's name for it is "tRNA-Ser". It matches the Rfam family "tRNA". From Rfam's summary of the family: Transfer RNA (tRNA) molecules are approximately 80 nucleotides in length. Lineage: Bacteria; Pseudomonadati; Spirochaetota; Spirochaetia; Brachyspirales; Brachyspiraceae. The record is from RNAcentral.
GGAGAGAUGUCCGAGCUGGUUGAAGGAGCACGAUUGGAAGUCGUGUGUGCGUAACAGCACCGUGGGUUCGAAUCCCACUCUCUCCG